This 393-nucleotide ribosomal RNA is filed under the name uncultured bacterium. RNAcentral describes it as "partial 16S ribosomal RNA". It matches the Rfam family "Bacterial small subunit ribosomal RNA", at positions 523 to 918 of the family's 1533-position model. The record is from RNAcentral.
AUACGGAAGGUCCGGGCGUUAUCCGGAUUUAUUGGGUUUAAAGGGAGCGCAGGCGGAGAUGCAAGCGUGACGUCAAAUUUCGGGGCUCAACCCCGUCUCGCGUCGCGAACUGCGUCCCUUGGCUGCGGGAAGGGGAGGCGGAACUCGUGGUGUAGCGGUGAAAUGCAUAGAUAUCACGAAGAACUCCGAUCGCGAAGGCAGCCUUCCGGCCCGUCAACGACGCUCAUGCUCGAAGGUGCGGGUAUCAAACAGGAUUAGAUACCCUGGUAGUCCGCACAGUAAACGAUGGACACCCGCGGUUUGGCCUGUAUGGCUGAGCCGCCAAGCGAAAGCGUUAAGUGUCCCACCUGGGGAGUACGCCGGCAACGGUGAAACUCAAAUGAAGUGACGGGG